UACAGAGGGGGCAAGCGUUGUUCGGAAUUACUGGGCGUAAAGGGCGCGUAGGCGGCCUGCUAAGUCGAACGUGAAAUCCCCGAGCUCAACUCGGGAACUGCGUCCGAUACUGGCAGGCUUGAAUCCGGGAGAGUGAUGCGGAAUUCCAGGUGUAGCGGUGAAAUGCGUAGAUAUCUGGAGGAACACCGGUGGCGAAGGCGGCAUCCUGGACCGGCAUUGACGCUGAGGCGCGAAAGCCAGGGGAGCAAACGGG
RNAcentral lists this ribosomal RNA (253 nucleotides) under uncultured bacterium. Its description in RNAcentral is "partial 16S ribosomal RNA". It matches the Rfam family "Bacterial small subunit ribosomal RNA", at positions 524 to 776 of the family's 1533-position model. The record is from RNAcentral.